This 498-nucleotide ribosomal RNA is filed under the name uncultured bacterium. RNAcentral's name for it is "partial 16S ribosomal RNA". It matches the Rfam family "Bacterial small subunit ribosomal RNA", at positions 29 to 523 of the family's 1533-position model. The record is from RNAcentral.
AUUGAACGCUGGCGGCAUGCCUUACACAUGCAAGUCGAACGGUAACGCGGGGCAACCUGGCGACGAGUGGCGAACGGGUGAGUAAUGCAUCGGAACGUGCCCAGUAGUGGGGGAUAGCUCGGCGAAAGCCGGAUUAAUACCGCAUACGACCUACGGGUGAAAGCGGGGGACCGUAAGGCCUCGCGCUAUUGGAGCGGCCGAUGUCAGAUUAGGUUGUUGGUGGGGUAAAGGCCUACCAAGCCGACGAUCUGUAGCUGGUCUGAGAGGACGACCAGCCACACUGGGACUGAGACACGGCCCAGACUCCUACGGGAGGCAGCAGUAGGGAAUUUUGGACAAUGGGGGCAACCCUGAUUCAGCCAUGCCGCGUGCGGGAAGAAGGCCUUCGGGUUGUAAACCGCUUUUGUCAGGGAAGAAACGCUUCGAGCUAAUACCUCGAGGUAAUGACGGUACCUGAAGAAUAAGCACCGGCUAACUACGUGCCAGCAGCCGCCGUAA